GCAUCAGACAGAGAAGGAGUUAUUCAU
RNAcentral lists this non-coding RNA (27 nucleotides) under Mus musculus (house mouse). Lineage: Eukaryota; Metazoa; Chordata; Mammalia; Rodentia; Muridae. The record is from RNAcentral.